RNAcentral lists this ribosomal RNA (870 nucleotides) under uncultured bacterium. Its description in RNAcentral is "bacterial SSU rRNA". It matches the Rfam family "Bacterial small subunit ribosomal RNA", at positions 8 to 872 of the family's 1533-position model. The record is from RNAcentral.
AGAGUUUGAUCAUGGCUCAGAUUGAACGCUGGCGGCAGGCUUAACACAUGCAAGUCGAGCGGGGAAAGGUAGCUUGCUACCUUACCUAGCGGCGGACGGGUGAGUAAUGCUUAGGAAUCUGCCUAUUAGUGGGGGACAACAUUUCGAAAGGAAUGCUAAUACCGCAUACGCCCUACGGGGGAAAGCGGGGGACCUUCGGGCCUUGCGCUAAUAGAUGAGCCUAAGUCGGAUUAGCUAGUUGGUGGGGUAAAGGCCUACCAAGGCGACGAUCUGUAGCGGGUCUGAGAGGAUGAUCCGCCACACUGGGACUGAGACACGGCCCAGACUCCUACGGGAGGCAGCAGUGGGGAAUAUUGGACAAUGGGGGGAACCCUGAUCCAGCCAUGCCGCGUGUGUGAAGAAGGCCUUUUGGUUGUAAAGCACUUUAAGCGAGGAGGAGGCUCCCAGUAUUAAUACUACUGGAGAGUGGACGUUACUCGCAGAAUAAGCACCGGCUAACUCUGUGCCAGCAGCCGCGGUAAUACAGAGGGUGCAAGCGUUAAUCGGAUUUACUGGGCGUAAAGCGUGCGUAGGUGGCCAAUUAAGUCAAAUGUGAAAUCCCCGAGCUUAACUUGGGAAUUGCAUUCGAUACUGGUUGGCUAGAGUAUGGGAGAGGAUGGUAGAAUUCCAGGUGUAGCGGUGAAAUGCGUAGAGAUCUGGAGGAAUACCGAUGGCGAAAGCAGCCAUCUGGCCUAAUACUGACACUGAGGUACGAAAGCAUGGGGAGCAAACAGGAUUAGAUACCCUGGUAGUCCAUGCCGUAAACGAUGUCUACUAGCCGUUGGGGUCUUUGAGACUUUAGUGGCGCAGCUAACGCGAUAAGUAGACCGC